AACGAACGCUGGCGGCAGGCUUAACACAUGCCAGUCGAACGCCCCGCCAGGGGAGUGGCCGUCGGGUGAGUAACGCGUGGGAACAUACCCUUUCCUGCGGAAUAGCUCCGGGAAACUGGAAUUAAUACCGCAUACGCCCUACGGGGGAAAGAUUUAUCGGGGAAGGAUUGGCCCGCGUGGGAUUAGCUAGUUGGGGGGGUAAAGGCCUACCAAGGCGACGAUCCAUAGCUGGUAUGAGAGGAUGAUCAGCCACAUUGGGACUGAGACACGGCCCAAACUCCUACGGGAGGCAGCAGUGGGGAAUAUUGGACAAUGGGCGCAAGCCUGAUCCAGCCAUGCCGCGUGAGUGAUGAAGGCCUUAGGGUUGUAAAGCUCUUUCACCGAUGAAGAUAAUGACGGUAGUCGGAGAAGAAGCCCCGGCUAACUUCGUG
Molecule: ribosomal RNA, 431 nt
Filed under: uncultured bacterium
Lineage: Bacteria
Description: partial 16S ribosomal RNA
Rfam family: Bacterial small subunit ribosomal RNA
Source: RNAcentral